This 1393-nucleotide long non-coding RNA is filed under the name Equus caballus (horse). Its description in RNAcentral is "lncRNA (ENSECAG00000045445.1)". Lineage: Eukaryota; Metazoa; Chordata; Mammalia; Perissodactyla; Equidae. The record is from RNAcentral.
CAUCCAAGCAAUUGCAUGUUUCGAUAGUUUCUUCUUUUGUAUUGACCUUUUAUCAUUCUUUUUUAUUUUUCCAUUCCAUUGUAUGGAUGUACCAGCAGUUUGUUUAUCUAUUUACCUGUUGAAGGACAUUUGGAGUCUUUCUCGUUUUUGGUGAUUACGCUUCUAUCAACUUUUCUGUUCAAGUUGUUGUGUGAACGUAAAAGAUCCUGCUUCAUUUGGAUGGCAACCAAGUCAGCCAUAUGGGAAGGAAAAUAAUCUAGUGAGUUGCAAAAUAAGAAAUCAUGGUCCAUGUGUUCCGUUGGAUGGCUUUCUUUGGGAUAUAAGCUCAAUGUGAAGUGGACUGUUGGUCAUCUGACAAAGGCAUAUUUUUGGCCCCAGUUAUCCAGUUAUAUGUCCACACUGGUAAUAUUAACCAAGGAAUUAUCUUUAUGUUGCGUAGACCUGAGUAAAAAAUACUUUAGGGCUGGCACCAUGGCUGAGCAGCAAGCACGACAGGUUAACUAUGGAGAAGAUACACCAGUACUCACACACACACACUCACACACACACAGACCCCACUUUAUUCUGUGCCAGAGCAGAGCUCCUGAAAACUGCUGCCAAGUGGCAGCCACCCAAGAGACUGCUGAAUUUCUGGCACUGGGCAGAAUCGAUGGCUGAGGCCAAGUGAUUGUUGCUGAACUCACCUGUGUCGAAAGGUCAGCCUUGCGGUGCUAAGGCUGGGCACAGGCACUCGAGGCAAAUUGGAUUGUGAAUGGAGGCCCUGAGGCAUGUUCUGCACUUUGCAACUGGUCUGGCAGGCUCCUCCACCUCCUGAGUCUGCCACAGGCAUGGGAAACACCUGGGCAGCGACAAAGGCAGGAUAAAGAAUUUUCAGGCUCAAAAUGUCAACUGUGCAGAGGUCAAAGAAAAACCCUGCUGUAGAGAAAGAGGAAAAAAGGGAGAGAAAAGGUGACUUUGCAAAUCUGAGUCUCUGUGACUACAGACACGGAAAUUUCAUCAAGAGCAAUUAGAAGCCCAGAAGUUUUGCUGAAUUAUUGGAUACGGGGAUGAAUCAUUUCAACCAGCUUGAGCUUGAGGUUAAUGUGAGAGACACAGCUGGCAGAAGCAGUAGGCAGAAACGUUGUUAAACUGAAGCGAGUAGGAGAGAAAGAGUGGGUUGAGAAGUAAUUCACCUUGGGGUGAUGGUUGAGACCACAAAAGCAGUUGAAAUGUUCAAAGACAUGUGGGAAAAGAAGAGUAAAGGCAUUUUACUAGUACUUUAGAAACAUAAAUCCUUCACAUAAAUAGUGAAUUUUUAAGUGAUAUACAGUAAGAAUUAUUCCUGCAAGCCCAUCUGUUUCAACAUGAGGAAUCAAAACCUGAAUACCAACCUUGCUAAAAUAAAGGUUCCUGG